Molecule: ribosomal RNA, 446 nt
Filed under: uncultured bacterium
Lineage: Bacteria
Description: SSU rRNA
Rfam family: Bacterial small subunit ribosomal RNA
Source: RNAcentral
AGAAUGAACGCUGGCGGCAUGCCUAACACAUGCAAGUCGAACGAAGCCUUCGGGCUUAGUGGCGCACGGGUGCGUAACGCGUGGGAAUCUGCCCCUUGGUUCGGAAUAACAGUUAGAAAUGACUGCUAAUACCGGAUAACGACGUAAGUCCAAAGAUUUAUCGCCGAGGGAUGAGCCCGCGUAGGAUUAGCUAGUUGGUGUGGUAAAAAGCGCACCAAGGCGACGAUCCUUAGCUGGUCUGAGAGGAUGAUCAGCCACACUGGGACUGAGACACGGCCCAGACUCCUACGGGAGGCAGCAGUGGGGAAUAUUGGACAAUGGGCGAAAGCCUGAUCCAGCAAUGCCGCGUGAGUGAUGAAGGCCUUAGGGUGUAAAGCUCUUUUACCCGGGAUGAUAAUGACAGUACCGGGAGAAUAAGCCCCGGCUAACUCCGUGCCAGCAGCCGC